GGGGGCGUACCGGUUUCGACGGGAGCGCUAGCGCUUAGAAGGCAUGCCGGGGGUCCACACCACCCGUAAUCGGCGUGGGUCAAAGACAACUGCCAACACGCAGUAUGCCUACGCUGCCUAAUUGAUUAGGUAGCCGUCUCCUUCGUCAGGCCCGCAGGACGGAGAGAGGCGUCGCUCAGCGGGCUGAUCCGGGAUUUGCCGCCUGAGGGUCCCGGAUGAGAGUCCCGAUUCGUCGGGACAACAGGCUAGCCGACGGUUCGUUCUUGCCAGUUCCUGAGGGCCGCCGGCGAAAGCGGUAAGCGAACCGGCUACGCAUGUAGGCUUCUAACCGUGAGCCUCUUCGGACGGGGGUUCGACUCCCCCCGCCUCCAA
RNAcentral lists this transfer-messenger RNA (372 nucleotides) under Terriglobia bacterium. It matches the Rfam family "transfer-messenger RNA". From Rfam's summary of the family: Bacterial tmRNA, also known as 10Sa RNA or SsrA, is named for its dual tRNA and mRNA-like properties. Its role is to liberate the mRNA from a stalled ribosome. Lineage: Bacteria; Pseudomonadati; Acidobacteriota; Terriglobia. The record is from RNAcentral.